Molecule: small nuclear RNA, 103 nt
Organism: Trichechus manatus latirostris (Florida manatee)
Lineage: Eukaryota; Metazoa; Chordata; Mammalia; Sirenia; Trichechidae
Source: RefSeq, a predicted model, not a curated record
UAAGUCAGGGACUACCUAUACUAAAAUUGGAACAAUACAGAGAAAAUUAGCAUGGCCCCUGAGCAAGGAUAACAUCCAAAUUCGUGAAGCAUUCCAUACUUUU